UCAGGACGAACGCUGGCGGCGUGCCUAAUACAUGCAAGUCGAACGGUCUUUCUAUGGAAGCUUGCUUCCACUGAGAAGAUAGUGGCGAACGGGUGAGUAACACGUGGGUAACCUGCCCAUAAGAGGGGGGAUAACAUCCGGAAACGGGUGCUAAUACCGCAUAGUUUUCUUGAUCGCAUGAUCGGGAAAGGAAAGACGGCCUUUGUGCUGUCGCUUAUGGAUGGACCCGCGGCGUAUUAGUUAGUUGGUGAGGUAACGGCUCACCAAGACGAUGAUACGUAGCCGACCUGAGAGGGUGAUCGGCCACAUUGGGACUGAGACACGGCCCAAACUCCUACGGGAGGCAGCAGUAGGGAAUCUUCCGCAAUGGACGAAAGUCUGACGGAGCAACGCCGCGUGAGUGAAGAAAGGUUUUCGGAUCGUAAAACUCUGUUGUCAGAGAAGAACAAGUUGGAGAGUAACUGCUCCAGCCUUGACGGUAUCUGACCAGAAAGCCACGGCUAACUACGUGCCAGCAGCCGC
This 522-nucleotide ribosomal RNA is filed under the name uncultured bacterium. RNAcentral describes it as "bacterial SSU rRNA". It matches the Rfam family "Bacterial small subunit ribosomal RNA", at positions 24 to 518 of the family's 1533-position model. The record is from RNAcentral.